RNAcentral lists this ribosomal RNA (392 nucleotides) under uncultured bacterium. RNAcentral describes it as "partial 16S ribosomal RNA". It matches the Rfam family "Bacterial small subunit ribosomal RNA", at positions 523 to 918 of the family's 1533-position model. The record is from RNAcentral.
AUACGGAGGAUCCGAGCGUUAUCCGGAUUUAUUGGGUUUAAAGGGUGCGCAGGCGGGAGAUUAAGUCGGCGGUGAAAUUUUGCAGCUCAACUGUAAAAGUGCCUUCGAAACUGGUUUCCUUGAGUGUAGAUGAAGUAGGCGGAAUUUGUGGUGUAGCGGUGAAAUGCAUAGAUAUCACGAGGAACUCCGAUUGCGCAGGCAGCUUACUAAACUACUACUGACGCUCAGGCACGAAGGCGUGGGGAUCAAACAGGAUUAGAUACCCUGGUAGUCCACGCAGUAAACGAUGAUUACUAGCUGUUUGCGAUACAAUGUAAGCGGCUGAGCGAAAGCGUUAAGUAAUCCACCGGGGAGUACGUUCGCAAGAAUGAAACUCAAAUGAAUUGACGGGG